RNAcentral lists this ribosomal RNA (253 nucleotides) under uncultured bacterium. RNAcentral describes it as "partial 16S ribosomal RNA". It matches the Rfam family "Bacterial small subunit ribosomal RNA", at positions 524 to 776 of the family's 1533-position model. The record is from RNAcentral.
UACGUAGGGUGCAAGCGUUGUCCGGAAUUAUUGGGCGUAAAGAGCUCGUAGGCGGCGCGGUAAGUCGGGUGUGAAAUCUCGGGGCUUAACUCCGAAACUGCAUUCGAUACUGCCGUGCUUGAGGACUGGAGAGGAGACUGGAAUUUACGGUGUAGCGGUGAAAUGCGUAGAUAUCGUAAGGAAGACCAGUGGCGAAGGCGGGUCUCUGGACAGUUCCUGACGCUGAGGCACGAAGGUCAGGGGAGCAAACGGG